RNAcentral lists this ribosomal RNA (253 nucleotides) under Segatella copri DSM 18205. Its description in RNAcentral is "Prevotella copri DSM 18205 partial 16S ribosomal RNA". It matches the Rfam family "Bacterial small subunit ribosomal RNA", at positions 524 to 776 of the family's 1533-position model. The record is from RNAcentral. Lineage: Bacteria; Pseudomonadati; Bacteroidota; Bacteroidia; Bacteroidales; Prevotellaceae.
UACGGAAGGUCCGGGCGUUAUCCGGAUUUAUUGGGUUUAAAGGGAGCGUAGGCCGGAGAUUAAGCGUGUUGUGAAAUGUAGAUGCUCAACAUCUGAACUGCAGCGCGAACUGGUUUCCUUGAGUACGCACAAAGUGGGCGGAAUUCGUGGUGUAGCGGUGAAAUGCUUAGAUAUCACGAAGAACUCCGAUUGCGAAGGCAGCUCACUGGAGCGCAACUGACGCUGAAGCUCGAAAGUGCGGGUAUCAAACAGG